GACGAACGCUGGCGGCGUGCUUAACACAUGCAAGUCGAACGGAAAGGCCCUGCUUUUGUGGGGUGCUCGAGUGGCGAACGGGUGAGUAACACGUGAGUAACCUGCCCUUGACUUUGGGAUAACUUCAGGAAACUGGGGCUAAUACCGGGUAGGAGCUCCUGCUGCAUGGUGGGGGUUGGAAAGUUUCGGCGGUUGGGGAUGGACUCGCGGCUUAUCAGCUUGUUGGUGUGGUAGUGGCGUACCAAGGCUUUGACGGGUAGGCGGCCUGAGAGGGUGACCGGCCACAAUGGGACUGAGAUACGGCCCAGAAUCCUACGGGAGGCAGCAGGGGGAAAUAUUGCAGAGUGGGCGGAAGCGUGAUGUAGCAACGCCGCGUGCGGGAUGACGGCCUUCGGGGGGUAAACCGCUUUCGCCUGUGACGAAGCGUGAGUGACGGUAAUGGGUAAAGAAGCACCGGCUAACUACGUG
RNAcentral lists this ribosomal RNA (468 nucleotides) under uncultured bacterium. Its description in RNAcentral is "partial 16S ribosomal RNA". It matches the Rfam family "Bacterial small subunit ribosomal RNA", at positions 28 to 507 of the family's 1533-position model. The record is from RNAcentral.